RNAcentral lists this ribosomal RNA (164 nucleotides) under Taraxacum sp. HUH31443. Its description in RNAcentral is "5.8S ribosomal RNA". It matches the Rfam family "5.8S ribosomal RNA". Rfam says of the family: 5.8S ribosomal RNA (5.8S rRNA) is a component of the large subunit of the eukaryotic ribosome. It is transcribed by RNA polymerase I as part of the 45S precursor that also contains 18S and 28S rRNA. Functionally, it is thought that 5.8S rRNA may be involved in ribosome translocation. Lineage: Eukaryota; Viridiplantae; Streptophyta; Magnoliopsida; Asterales; Asteraceae. The record is from RNAcentral.
GACUCUCGGCAACGGAUAUCUCGGCUCACGCAUCGAUGAAGAACGUAGCAAAAUGCGAUACUUGGUGUGAAUUGCAGAAUCCCGUGAACCAUCGAGUUUUUGAACGCAGUUGCGCCCAAGCCAUCCGGUGGAGGGCACGCCUGCCUGGGCGUUAACGCAUCGCG